CNUGGGGAGUACGGCCGCAAGGCUAAAACUCAAAGGAAUUGACGGGGGCCCGCACAAGCGGCGGAGCAUGCGGAUUAAUUCGAUGCAACGCGAAGAACCUUACCAAGGCUUGACAUGGGCUGGAUUGCUUCGGAGACGGGGUUUCCCUUUUUUGGGCUGGUUCACAGGUGGUGCAUGGUUGUCGUCAGCUCGUGUCGUGAGAUGUUGGGUUAAGUCCCGCAACGAGCGCAACCCUUGUCUCGUGUUGCCAGCACGUUGUGGUGGGGACUCGCGGGAGACUGCCGGGGUAACUCGGAGGAAGGUGGGGAUGACGUCAAAUCAUCAUGCCCCUUAUGUCUUGGGCUUCACGCAUGCUACAAUGGCCGGUACAGUGGGUUGCGAUGCUGUGAGGCGGAGCGAAUCCCUGAAAGCCGGUCUCAGUUCGGAUCGGUGUCUGCAACUCGACACCGUGAAGUUGGAGUCGCUAGUAAUCGCAGAUCAGCAGCGCUGCGGUGAAUACGUUCUCGGGCCUUGUACACACCGCCCGUCACGUCAUGAAAGCUGGCAACACCCGAAGCCCGUGGCCUUAUGGGGAACGNUCGAAGG
Molecule: ribosomal RNA, 585 nt
Filed under: uncultured bacterium
Lineage: Bacteria
Description: bacterial SSU rRNA
Rfam family: Bacterial small subunit ribosomal RNA
Source: RNAcentral